Molecule: ribosomal RNA, 854 nt
Filed under: Proteus mirabilis
Lineage: Bacteria; Pseudomonadati; Pseudomonadota; Gammaproteobacteria; Enterobacterales; Morganellaceae
Description: partial 23S ribosomal RNA
Rfam family: Bacterial large subunit ribosomal RNA
Source: RNAcentral
GUAAUAGCUCACUGGUCGAGUCGGCCCGCGCGGAAGAUGUAACGGGGCUAAACCAUGCACCGAAGCUGCGGCAGCGACACAAAGUGUUGUUGGGUAGGGGAGCGUUCUGUAAGCCUGCGAAGGUGUACUGUGAGGUAUGCUGGAGGUAUCAGAAGUGCGAAUGCUGACAUAAGUAACGAUAAUGCGGGUGAAAAACCCGCACGCCGGAAGACCAAGGGUUCCUGUCCAACGUUAAUCGGGGCAGGGUGAGUCGACCCCUAAGGCGAGGCUGAAAAGCGUAGUCGAUGGGAAACGGGUUAAUAUUCCCGUACUGGUGGUAACUGCGAUGGGGGAACGGAGAAGGCUAGGUUGUCCGGGCGACGGUCGUCCCGGUUCAAGCAGGUAGGCAGAGUGAUUAGGCAAAUCCGGUCACUUAAUGCUGAGAUGUGAUGACGAACCACCAAGGUGGUGAAGCAAUUGAUGCCCCGCUUCCAGGAAAAGCCUCUAAGCUUCAGGUUACCAACAAUCGUACCCCAAACCGACACAGGUGGUCAGGUAGAGAAUACUCAGGCGCUUGAGAGAACUCGGGUGAAGGAACUAGGCAAAAUGGUGCCGUAACUUCGGGAGAAGGCACGCUGGCGGUAGGUAAAGUCCCUCGCGGACGGCGCUGAAGCCAGUCGAAGAUACCAGCUGGCUGCAACUGUUUAUUAAAAACACAGCACUGUGCAAACACGAAAGUGGACGUAUACGGUGUGACGCCUGCCCGGUGCUGGAAGGUUAAUUGAUGGGGUCAGCCGUAAGGCGAAGCUCCUGAUCGAAGCCCCAGUAAACGGCGGCCGUAACUAUAACGGUCCUAAGGUAGCGAAAUUCCUUGU